This 789-nucleotide ribosomal RNA is filed under the name Staphylococcus warneri. Its description in RNAcentral is "bacterial SSU rRNA". It matches the Rfam family "Bacterial small subunit ribosomal RNA", at positions 58 to 829 of the family's 1533-position model. The record is from RNAcentral. Lineage: Bacteria; Bacillati; Bacillota; Bacilli; Caryophanales; Staphylococcaceae.
CAAGUCGAGCGAACAGAUAAGGAGCUUGCUCCUUUGACGUUAGCGGCGGACGGGUGAGUAACACGUGGAUAACCUACCUAUAAGACUGGGAUAACUUCGGGAAACCGGAGCUAAUACCGGAUAACAUAUUGAACCGCAUGGUUCAAUAGUGAAAGGCGGCUUUGCUGUCACUUAUAGAUGGAUCCGCGCCGUAUUAGCUAGUUGGUAAGGUAACGGCUUACCAAGGCAACGAUACGUAGCCGACCUGAGAGGGUGAUCGGCCACACUGGAACUGAGACACGGUCCAGACUCCUACGGGAGGCAGCAGUAGGGAAUCUUCCGCAAUGGGCGAAAGCCUGACGGAGCAACGCCGCGUGAGUGAUGAAGGUCUUCGGAUCGUAAAACUCUGUUAUCAGGGAAUAACAAAUGUGUAAGUAACUGUGCACAUCUUGACGGUACCUGAUCAGAAAGCCACGGCUAACUACGUGCCAGCAGCCGCGGUAAUACGUAGGUGGCAAGCGUUAUCCGGAAUUAUUGGGCGUAAAGCGCGCGUAGGCGGUUUUUUAAGUCUGAUGUGAAAGCCCACGGCUCAACCGUGGAGGGUCAUUGGAAACUGGAAAACUUGAGUGCAGAAGAGGAAAGUGGAAUUCCAUGUGUAGCGGUGAAAUGCGCAGAGAUAUGGAGGAACACCAGUGGCGAAGGCGACUUUCUGGUCUGUAACUGACGCUGAUGUGCGAAAGCGUGGGGAUCAAACAGGAUUAGAUACCCUGGUAGUCCACGCCGUAAACGAUGAGUGCUAAGUGUUAGGGG